UACGGGGGGAGCAAGCGUUGUUCGGAAUCACUGGGCGUAAAGGGAGUCUAGGCGGUUUGGUAAGUGGGAUGUGAAAUGCCCGGGCUCACCCCGGGACCUGCAUCCCAAACUGCUGAGCUUGAGUACAGGAAAGGGUGGGGGAAUUCCAGGUGUAGCGGUGAAAUGCGUAGAUAUCUGGAGGAACACCGGUGGCGAAGGCGCCCACCUGGCCUGCUACUGACGCUGAAGCUCGAAAGCUAGGGGAGCAAACGGG
RNAcentral lists this ribosomal RNA (253 nucleotides) under uncultured bacterium. RNAcentral describes it as "partial 16S ribosomal RNA". It matches the Rfam family "Bacterial small subunit ribosomal RNA", at positions 524 to 776 of the family's 1533-position model. The record is from RNAcentral.